CAUUGCCGGGAGCUGGGACCUCCUCUAUGGUCACAAAGUCGCGAGGUUUCCUGGGCCAAGAGGCAACCCGAGGCGGCAUCCAGCACCAUGAAUCCACUGAUACCAGUUCCUGCCAGUCAGGCCUGAAACCUUGGCCCCUGGAAGCAGCCAGCAAGCCCUUCGGGGUCUUCGUCUUUGCACGGCUGAGCCAUCCCACAUCUGGAGCAGAGUCAUUCAGGUGACAAGUGACGGUGGUCUCCACCAAGACCUGAAAAAUGGCAUCUGGACAAGGACCAGGUCCCCCGAAGGUGGGCUGCGAUGAGUCCCCGUCCCCUUCUGAACAGCAGGUUGCCCAGGACACAGAGGAGGUCUUUCGAAGCUACGUUUUUUACCUCCACCAGCAGGAACAGGAGACCCAGGGGGCGGCCGCCCCUGCCAACCCCGAGAUGGACAACUUGCCCCUGGAACCCAACAGCAUCUUGGGUCAGGUGGGUCGGCAGCUUGCUCUCAUCGGAGAUGAUAUUAACCGGCGCUACGACACAGAGUUCCAGAAUUUACUAGAACAGCUUCAGCCCACAGCCGGGAAUGCCUACGAACUCUUCACCAAGAUCGCCUCCAGGCCAGCAGCAACAUGCACAGCCUAUUUAAGAGUGGCAUCAGCUGGGGCCGCGUGGUGGCUCUCCUGGGCUUUGGCUACCGUCUGGCCCUGUACGUCUACCAGCGUGGUUUGACCGGCUUCCUGGGCCAGGUGACCUGCUUUUUGGCUGAUAUCAUACUGCAUCAUUACAUCGCCAGAUGGAUCGCACAGAGAGGCGGUUGGGUGGCAGCCCUGAAUUUUCGUAGAGACCCCAUCCUGACCGUAAUGGUGAUUUUUGGUGUGGUUCUGUUGGGCCAAUUCGUGGUACACAGAUUCUUCAGAUCAUGACUCCCGGGGAGCCCCACUGGGGCCCCAGCCACGUGCCUGGCUGGACUAAACCUCUCUCCCUACCCCACCCCCUACCCCCCACCCCAACAGUCCUCUCCUUCCUCCCCAGGGCAAAGACGCUUUAGCAAACAGGCACCCCUGAUUUGGAGAGCCACCGCCCAGGGGUCAUCAAUACCCCAACAUUGCAUGGUGCUACUGAACCCCAUCCUGUCUCAGAGGCACUGACUGACGCACUGGGGGGGGUGGGUGGGGGAUGGAGAGGCUGGGCCACUAAUUCCCAGAAAACUAGGUUUGUUUUUAUACUACCCUUUAGAUACAAUCCACCCUUUUUCUCCACUGUGCCCAAAGUCAGAACAUGGAGGGCUUGGGGACUGGUGGUUCGAACCUGUGUUCCCAACACUCCUGCUACUUUGGAAGGUCAGCCCUUGAGAAGAGACCUGAGCACAAUCCUUGCCCUCCCUACAUUGGCUCCCAAGACCAACUGUAGGAGACUGCAUGACCUACUUCACCCCCACCUCAUCGUCCAUUUCCCCAACCCUACCCCCCACACCCCCUCCCCUCCUAUCUCCUACCCCAAUCCAUCCAUUUUUGCCUUGGCGGCUGGACUCUCAGGGAUUCUGAGCCCAGAGUGAGGGCAGAGGUGAGAGUUCAGACCACAGCUGUCUGAACACAUCCAUCAGGCUCUCCAAUCCUGUGUCCUUCCUGACCCGUGCUCCCAACCUAGUGGGUAGGGGAAGACGCCACUUUCUCCCCAGGGCUCUCAGGUGAGCCUGCCUGCUGGGGCGGAGGCCUUCCUGACAGACGGACGGACAGAGCCUCAGACUCAGCCACUAUGACAGGGGAGGGGGUGGGCACUCUUUGGAGGUGUCCACACUAGAGAACUACUCCAGCAGAAGCAACUGUGGACCUGGGUGCAGUUCCUCCCCGGAACCUAUGAUUACUUGAACCCCACCUUCACUCCUUGUCUGCCUAGGUCCUCCUCGGGUUGGGUGGGGUGGGUGUUUUUCUCUGUCUUGCACAACAUAGGGGUGAGAAGUUUUGAUUAAGCCAAAUGUAUCGGGGAAGAGGGGGAGGCAGAGGGUGCUCUGUGUCUGGAAAUAAACUGUGCAAUGCCCCCAA
RNA transcript from Mus musculus (house mouse), 2023 nucleotides. It is a transcript of the gene named BCL2-antagonist/killer 1, with no coding region annotated. The transcript has 7 exons. Lineage: Eukaryota; Metazoa; Chordata; Mammalia; Rodentia; Muridae. The record is from RefSeq and is marked validated.